CCUACGGGAGGCUGCAGUCGAGAAUUUUUCUCAAUGGGGGAAACCCUGAAGGAGCGACGCCGCGUGGAGGAUGAAGGCUUUCGGGUUGUAAACUCCUGUCAUUUGAGAACAAGGGUAGCCAAGUAACUACUGGCUACUUGAUAGUAUCAGAAGAGGAAGAGACGGCUAACUCUGUGCCAGCAGCCGCGGUAAUACAGAGGUCUCAAGCGUUGUUCGGAUUCAUUGGGCGUAAAGGGUGCGUAGGUGGCGCGCUAAGUCAGGUGUGAAAUUUCGGAGCUUAACUCCGAAACUGCAUUUGAUACUGGCGUGCUUGAGGACUGGAGAGGAGACUGGAAUUCACGGUGUAGCAGUGAAAUGCGUAGAUAUCGUGAGGAAGACCAGUGGCGAAGGCGGGUCUCUGGACAGUUCCUGACACUGAGGCACGAAGGCCAGGGGAGCAA
RNAcentral lists this ribosomal RNA (440 nucleotides) under uncultured bacterium. Its description in RNAcentral is "bacterial SSU rRNA". It matches the Rfam family "Bacterial small subunit ribosomal RNA", at positions 338 to 771 of the family's 1533-position model. The record is from RNAcentral.